GUUGCGUCUUGUAAAGGGGCAUUUUUCUGGAUCAGACCGGUGUUCAGCAAAUCACAUUUUGGGUAUACAAUGACGGAUUUAAUCGGGAAAAAGACCCAAUUGUGAUGUUUAUGUGACAUAUAGGAGUGCCAAGAAAGAAGCUCGUCAAAGCUGGGACCCUUUGGAUGACAAAUCAGAGGAAGAUUUUCAAAAAGUAAGUGAAUAUUUAAUUGCUAUUUGUGAAUUUAUGAAACCUGUGCCGGUGGAAAAAUAUUUUGAUGUGGGGAGCCGUCCUCAAACAAUCGCAUGGCAUGCUUUUGCUGUAAAGCCUACUGUAAAUCAGACAGUGCAGUUAGAUUAACAAGAAUUUAAGCUUUUAACCGAUAUAAGACACUUGUAUGUACCUAAAUGUUUAAUAUCCAUAAUUUUUAUGAUUAUUUAUUUGAAUUGCUUUGGUCAAUGAUGUGCUUCGGGACAUGCUAAACCAGUUUGUGUUUGUGUACCUUGACAACAUCCUGUUUUUUUCCCAAUCUGCACAAGACCAUGUUCUUUAUGUCAGACAGGUCCUUCAGCGCCUCCUGGAGAACCAACUGCUCGUGAAAGCCGAGAAGUGUGCGUUCUACUAUCACCUUUCUGGGAUAUUUGCUGAGGACAAUGUUCAGAUGGUUCCUGGAAAGGUGAAAGCAGUGGUGGAUUGACCUCAACCAAUGUCCAGGGUGCCGUUGCAACUGUUUCUUGGUUUUGCAAACUUCUACUGCCAUUUCAUUCGGGACUACAGCACCCUGGCAGCCCCCCUCUCGGCACUCACCUCUCCCAAGGUACCAUUCAAAUGGUUUCCAGCUGUCGACAAAGCCUUUGUGGACCUGAAGCAUCAGUUCACAACAGCAUCCAUCCUCAUCCAUCCUGACCGCUUGCGUCAAUUUGUGGUGGAAGUGGAUGCUUCGGAUGUUGGAGUGGGGGCCAUCCCAGCGAUCUGCCCAGGACCAGAAGCUUCAUCUCUAUGCCUUCCAGUCCCAUCGUCUCAAUCCUGCUGAAAGGAACUACGAUGUUGGCAACCGAGAACUCCUGGCAGUGAAGAUGGUGUUGGAAGAGGGGUGGCACUGGCUGGAAGGAGCAGAACAGCCAUUACUGGUCUGGACUGACCAUAAAAACCUGGAAUAUCUCCAUACAGCCAAGCGCCUCAACUCCAGGCAGGCCCGGUGGGCCCUCCUGUUCACCAGAUUUAACUUCACCAUCUCCUACCGCCCAGGGUCAAAGAAUGUGAAGCCUGAUGCCCUCUCCCGCCUAUACAGUUCCUCUGCCACACCCUCGACCUCUGAAACCAUUCUCUCUACCUCAUGCCUUACUGCCAGUGUGGAUUGGGAUAUUGAGAACCUGGUCCACAAGGCAAAAUGCUCCCAGCCUGGACCUGAAGGGGGCCCGGGCUAACCGUCUGUUUGUCCCUAAUCCAGUCCGGUCCCCGGUCCUGGAAUGGGCUCAUUCCUCCAGGCUGACCUGUCAUCCAGGGUCCCGUUGAGGCCAAUCCAUCUUCCUUCGACAAUGUUUCUGGGGGCCCACAAGGGUCCCUGACGUCUCUGCCUUCGUCACUGCAUGCACUGUGUGUGCUCAAACCAAGACUCCACAGCAAGCUCCUUCUGACCUCCUGCAGCCACUACCGGUUCCUCAUUGUCCCUGGUCUCAUAUCUCUGGACUUUGUCACUGGACUCCCUCCGUCUGAUGGCAACACUGUCAUUCUGACCGUAGUCGACCGGUUCUCCAAGGCCACCCAUUUCAUCCCUCUCCCCAAACUACCUUCUGCCAAGGAGAUGGCCCAGCUUAUGCCUUCAGUUCUGGAAGGCUUUCUGCACCCUUAUUGGGUUGUCAGCCAGCCUUUCAUCCGGAUUCCAUCCCCAACCAAGACCAUCCCCAACCAAGACCUGAGGACCACCUUAAGUUGCCUGGUCUCAACCAACCCCACUACCUGGAGCCAUCAACUGAUCUGGGUGGAGUAUGCCCGGAACACUCUUCCAAGUUUUGCCACGGGAUUCUCCCCUUUCGAGUGCUCCAUGGGAUAUCAGCCUCCACUCUUCACUGAGCAGGAGGUCAGCGUACCCUCGGCCCAGAUGUUUGUCCACCGCUGUCGACGUACCUGUAGAAGAGCCAGGGCGGCUAUUCUCAAGACCAACUCCAGCUAUUGUCGCUGGACCCCAGCUCCCCGCUACCACAUUAGGCAGAGUAUAUGGCUGUCCACAGGGGACCUGCCCCUCUGGGUAGAGUCCCGCAAACUGUUCCUCCAUUUUAUUGGUCCUUUUCUCCAGAGUUCCACUGCUGUCCCCCUCUUGUUACCCCGCACCCUCCGUAUUCACCCUACGUUCCAUGUGUCUAGAAUUAAACCCAUGUCUCUCAGUUCUUUCUGUCCCCAGGCACCCCCCCCCCGUGUCAUUGAUGGCCAUCCGGCAUACACGGUGAGACGUCUGCUGGGUGUUCAACCAUGGGGCAGGGGUUUCCAGUACGUGGUUGACUGGGGGGGUUAUGGCCCGGGGGAGAGGUACUGGGUUCCUGCUAGAGACAUCCUGGAUCCAGCCCUCAUCGCCAACUUCCACCGCUGACACCCCGGUCAACCAGAGUUACACCCUCCACCUGCCGAUGGACUGACAACCACUCACCAACAGGGCCUCUUUUCCCCGCAAGUGAAUCAUGUCUGGAAGGCAAAGCGCAUACUGUAAAUACCAGACCAUGACAAUGUUCUCAGUGACUGAGGAGACAGACGUUCGUUCAGUUGUAUAAUCUUAAGAUCGAGGUUGAGUUGUCCCUGACAUGACAACGGAUGCUCUGGCUUUCCAUAUGGACUGUAAUGCUGCCUAGAUACAUGUUUUAAUAGUGCUAUUGACCUUGCAAAGAAGUGCACAGCAGAUGUACAGGAACAGAAAGCACAGAGAUGCCAAAUUGAUCUGAACAGUUGAAUGAAGCACGGAGAAAUACCGCACACCAUAUUCCCUUGAUAGCAACCACUUCUCUCUCUCUCUCUCUCUUAGCCGCAAGUCAGAUUAGAGUUGCCAAGGAUGUGAAAAGUCAGCAAGUACAAUUCAAGCAAAAUAAAAAUGGUGAAAAUCGGAUUAUACUUUUCUUCAACCCUUCAUUAGCCUUCAUAACACUGUCAUAAUGGUGACAUAAUGGUGACAUGACAGACACAUGGGUCAUCUCUGCAGAGGCUGGCAGUAUGGGACACUCACUCACAAGCUUUGCAAAGGGCCCUGAAUGCAAGAUGUGUGUGAGUGAGUUGAACAAGUUGCAACAUAGAUUUUUAAAUGAGUUGAAAGAGUAGACGCCAAUAAAAGCAAUAUUUUAAAUUGGAUCAUAUCAAUGGUGGUAUAUUCCAAGAAGUCCUCCUACAGUAUAUCUUCCAGAACCGCUGGCUUGUUUUAAACUUGGUUUGACACAAGUGGAAUAGUAUGAAGCACAUGUUUCAAGUUUUAGCAUGUCAGGAUUGACCAGAGAGAACUAACGCCACAUAAAAACUGAUCGUUGAUUAGGGUCAUAAGGGAAAGAAACGUAUGAGCUAUGAUGAAAGCCAGAUGAAUGUCUUGCGAAAUAAGUCAAUUGUUGUUUUGACACUGAACCACGCUCAUAAACACUUGUAUCUCUGUUUCAUGUACAGUACAACAGCCUAACCUAUACACAAGCAGUGUCCCUUGCACACAGAUAGUUUUAUAGACUAGUUUGCAUGAACAAGGGACCAUUUUUGCUAACUCUUACCUCUGUGUGUAGCAUAGAACGAACAACCUUUCCCCUGGUUUCUACGUUUCCAUAUCUAAAGAUUUCAGCGAAAUGGCACUCUAGAAAUGGCACAGAUGCACAAUCGAGAGCAUCCUGGCGGGCUGUAUCACCGCCUGGUACGGCAACUGCUCCGCCCACAACGCAUCACCGGGGGCAAACUACCUGCCCUCCAGGACACCUACACCACCCGAUGUUACAGGAAGGCCAUAAAGAUCAUCAAGGACAUCAACCACCCGAGCCACUGCCUGUUCACCCCGCUAUCAUCCAGAAGGCGAGGUCAGUACAGGUGCAUCAAAGCUGGGACCGAGAG
Oncorhynchus tshawytscha (Chinook salmon) is the source of this 4045-nucleotide long non-coding RNA. The record is from Ensembl. Lineage: Eukaryota; Metazoa; Chordata; Actinopteri; Salmoniformes; Salmonidae.